RNAcentral lists this long non-coding RNA (919 nucleotides) under Heterocephalus glaber (naked mole-rat). Its description in RNAcentral is "lncRNA (ENSHGLG00100031585.2)". The record is from RNAcentral. Lineage: Eukaryota; Metazoa; Chordata; Mammalia; Rodentia; Bathyergidae.
UGGGAGAACCAUCUCGCUGCAGCUGCCAUUGUACCUGGACAUGGUUUCUCGCCAACCCUGCUCUACGCUUCAACCUGGGCUCCAAGCUCUUUUGGGUUCUGAUCCAGUUCUCUAUACAAUGAGCCUGUGAUCUCCUACAAAUGAAAAAUAGUCACCGUCCUGUCUCCCAGGCCUAGAGAUGCAAUUGCUCCAUCAAAAGAACCUCAACCAAUCAUGCUGUUUUCAACUUUGUACUGAACUCUGCUUUCUGGUACCUAUGCCUCCAAGUCCUGAACUUCUCAGGAGAGCAGAUCUGCUUCGUCAUUAAGUUUUCCCCUCUGCAGAUACAGGUGGAAGUUUUUCUCUUCUUGGCUAAGAGUCUUGCUAAGUGGCUCAGUGGCCCAGGCUGGGCUUGAACUUGCGACCCUCCUGCCUCAGCCUCCCAGACCACACCAUCAUGCCCAUCCAUGUCCGCCACGGUCUAACGAUGUGACCUUCAGCAAGCUUCUCCGUGAGGCGGAAAUUCAGCCCUCCCUCCUCGCUGCUCAGCAUGGCGUGAUUCCCCAGGCAAGCUUGCUCCACGGGAUGUGUUCUAGCCCGGCCCAACUCAGACGCGCACAGCUGGGUGUCCGCCGACCGGGUGGGCGAGAAGAGGGAGCAGCCCACGCCCUGCGGAGCGUCCUUCAGCCCGGAGGGAAUCCUGAUGUCUGCGAUGGCGCAGGAGGUCUCGCGAGAGGCCGGAAAAGCAGACGCUGCGGCCUCAUUUACCUGUGGCACUGACAGCACCGAAGGCUGUAACUCAAGACUGUGUAAGUCAAAACUAAAAUUCCGGUUGUAACCCAAGUUGUUUGUAUGUCAGGAGGUUGUUACUCGAGUGUCCACUGUAUGCUCUAGGAUGAGCAGGCCCUGGGGUCUGGGACGGCCCGGGGGAACAGUUGCU